Molecule: ribosomal RNA, 588 nt
Filed under: Marinococcus halophilus
Lineage: Bacteria; Bacillati; Bacillota; Bacilli; Caryophanales; Bacillaceae
Also listed under: 2 other names
Description: bacterial SSU rRNA
Rfam family: Bacterial small subunit ribosomal RNA
Source: RNAcentral
CCUACGGGAGGCAGCAGUAGGGAAUCAUCCGCAAUGGGCGAAAGCCUGACGGUGCAACGCCGCGUGAGUGAUGAAGGUUUUCGGAUCGUAAAGCUCUGUUGACAGGGAAGAACCCACGUCAGUCGAACAGGCUGGCGUGCUGACGGUACCUGUCCAGAAAGCCCCGGCUAACUACGUGCCAGCAGCCGCGGUAAUACGUAGGGGGCAAGCGUUGUCCGGAAUUAUUGGGCGUAAAGGGCACGCAGGCGGUUUCGUCAGUCCGAUGUGACAGGCCACGGCUCAACCGUGGAAGGCCAUUGGAAACUGCGAAACUUGAGGACAGAAGAGGAGAGUGGAAUUCCACGUGUAGCGGUGAAAUGCGUAGAUAUGUGGAGGAACACCAGUGGCGAAGGCGACUCUCUGGUCUGUACCUGACGCUGAGGUGCGAAAGCAUGGGGAGCAAACAGGAUUAGAUACCCUGGUAGUCCAUGCCGUAAACGCUGAGUGCUAGGUGUUAGGGGUUUCGAUACCCGUAGUGCCGAAGCUAACGCAUUAAGCACUCCGCCUGGGGAGUACGACCGCAAGGUUGAAACUCAAAGGAAUUGACGG